RNAcentral lists this ribosomal RNA (1568 nucleotides) under Salmonella enterica. RNAcentral's name for it is "partial 23S ribosomal RNA". It matches the Rfam family "Bacterial large subunit ribosomal RNA", at positions 1252 to 2803 of the family's 2925-position model. Lineage: Bacteria; Pseudomonadati; Pseudomonadota; Gammaproteobacteria; Enterobacterales; Enterobacteriaceae. The record is from RNAcentral. RNAcentral also lists the same sequence under 1 other name.
GAAGGUGUGUCGUGAGGCAUGCUGGAGGUAUCAGAAGUGCGAAUGCUGACAUAAGUAACGAUAAAGCGGGUGAAAAGCCCGCUCGCCGGAAGACCAAGGGUUCCUGUCCAACGUUAAUCGGGGCAGGGUGAGUCGACCCCUAAGGCGAGGCCGAAAGGCGUAGUCGAUGGGAAACGGGUUAAUAUUCCCGUACUUGGUGUUACUGCGAAGGGGGGACGGAGAAGGCUAUGUUGGCCGGGCGACGGUUGUCCCGGUUUAAGUGUGUAGGUGUGUGUUCCAGGUAAAUCCGGUUCACUUUAACACUGAGGCGUGACGACGAGGCACUACGGUGCUGAAGCAACAAAUGCCCUGCUUCCAGGAAAAGCCUCUAAGCAUCAGGUAACAUCAAAUCGUACCCCAAACCGACACAGGUGGUCAGGUAGAGAAUACCAAGGCGCUUGAGAGAACUCGGGUGAAGGAACUAGGCAAAAUGGUGCCGUAACUUCGGGAGAAGGCACGCUGACACGUAGGUGAAGUGAUUUACUCAUGGAGCUGAAGUCAGUCGAAGAUACCAGCUGGCUGCAACUGUUUAUUAAAAACACAGCACUGUGCAAACACGAAAGUGGACGUAUACGGUGUGACGCCUGCCCGGUGCCGGAAGGUUAAUUGAUGGGGUCAGCGCAAGCGAAGCUCCUGAUCGAAGCCCCGGUAAACGGCGGCCGUAACUAUAACGGUCCUAAGGUAGCGAAAUUCCUUGUCGGGUAAGUUCCGACCUGCACGAAUGGCGUAAUGAUGGCCAGGCUGUCUCCACCCGAGACUCAGUGAAAUUGAACUCGCUGUGAAGAUGCAGUGUACCCGCGGCAAGACGGAAAGACCCCGUGAACCUUUACUAUAGCUUGACACUGAACAUUGAGCCUUGAUGUGUAGGAUAGGUGGGAGGCUUUGAAGUGUGGACGCCAGUCUGCAUGGAGCCGACCUUGAAAUACCACCCUUUAAUGUUUGAUGUUCUAACGUGGACCCGUUACCCGGGUUGCGGACAGUGUCUGGUGGGUAGUUUGACUGGGGCGGUCUCCUCCUAAAGAGUAACGGAGGAGCACGAAGGUUGGCUAAUCCUGGUCGGACAUCAGGAGGUUAGUGCAAUGGCAUAAGCCAGCUUGACUGCGAGCGUGACGGCGCGAGCAGGUGCGAAAGCAGGUCAUAGUGAUCCGGUGGUUCUGAAUGGAAGGGCCAUCGCUCAACGGAUAAAAGGUACUCCGGGGAUAACAGGCUGAUACCGCCCAAGAGUUCAUAUCGACGGCGGUGUUUGGCACCUCGAUGUCGGCUCAUCACAUCCUGGGGCUGAAGUAGGUCCCAAGGGUAUGGCUGUUCGCCAUUUAAAGUGGUACGCGAGCUGGGUUUAGAACGUCGUGAGACAGUUCGGUCCCUAUCUGCCGUGGGCGCUGGAGAACUGAGGGGGGCUGCUCCUAGUACGAGAGGACCGGAGUGGACGCAUCACUGGUGUUCGGGUUGUCAUGCCAAUGGCACUGCCCGGUAGCUAAAUGCGGAAGAGAUAAGUGCUGAAAGCAUCUAAGCACGAAACUUGCCCCGAG